GGGAGACCGUGGGCGGAGGUGAUACAACCUGACUGAUGAUGGCUGACAAAAAAGGAAGAAAGUAGCUGAGAACCAGCAGCUGAAGAAAGCAAGAAAAUCUGAAUGAAGUCACAAAUGUCACCAAGGAAAGGCAGAACAGAAAAAUAACUUGAAUAUUCAAGAUGGACACAUCAAGCCUUGUGAAGAGGUGACUCCGAGGCUCGGAUGCUGCCCAAGCCAACCAGAGUUUACCAGGUUCCAAGAAUGACCUUGAAUUCCAGAUCCUUCUGCUCUCAUCAUCUGAGUGCUGGGUUACAGUUGUGUGUCGUCAUACCUGCCUCUCACCUGGGUCUUUGAAACAAAAGAGGGAAGAGAAAGAAAGAAAGAAAGAAAGAAAGAA
This 379-nucleotide long non-coding RNA is filed under the name Mus caroli (Ryukyu mouse). RNAcentral describes it as "lncRNA (MGP_CAROLIEiJ_G0006344.1)". The record is from RNAcentral. Lineage: Eukaryota; Metazoa; Chordata; Mammalia; Rodentia; Muridae.